This 198-nucleotide ribosomal RNA is filed under the name Helicotheca tamesis. RNAcentral's name for it is "partial Eukaryotic small subunit ribosomal RNA". The record is from RNAcentral. Lineage: Eukaryota; Bacillariophyta; Thalassiosirophyceae; Lithodesmiales; Lithodesmiaceae.
GCCAACAUUUUUGGGACAAAUGACAAACCUUGAAAGUAUAAUUUUUGAAGCAAAUGAAUUCCAUGGAACAAUUCCGAUUGAAUAUGGGAAUCUCGUUAAUCUUGUUGAGUUUAAUCUCAAUAAUAAUGAUUUAGAGGGCAGCCCGGGGAAUAUUAUUAAAAAGUGGCCAAAACUAGAACUUUUGCUACUAGAUAAGAA